This is a long non-coding RNA of Gasterosteus aculeatus aculeatus (three-spined stickleback), 962 nucleotides long. The record is from Ensembl. NCBI's taxonomy places the organism in Eukaryota, Metazoa, Chordata, Actinopteri, Perciformes, Gasterosteidae.
GGUGUUCUACCCAGACUGGUUAUGACCAGAGCCUCCUUGCAACCCACUACUAUCUCAUUGCUCCUAACGUCCACAACCAGACUGCUGUCAGCCAGACGGUGACCAUCAGCUCGGUGUGGACAUCAGCUCGGGGAAGACUUUUUGAAGUCAAUGGACCAUUGACACAGCGUCAUGGAGAAGUGGACUCCUCCAGCUUCUACAAACAUGGCGUCAGUGACCUGUGUCUCCAUGGAGGUCUCCAGCCUGUACUGUGUCCCUCCCUGGCAGAGUAUCCUGCCUUUAUGCAUGCAGGAGGCCUGCAUUCUGCUUUCAGCAUCAUUGCACACCAAAUGGAAUAUGGAGAGUUUGCAGAUGCCUGUGAGAGCAAACAACACUUAAUCAUGUUUAGAUUGUUGAUAUUGAAAACGCAACAUGAGAAAAGGGAAAUGGAGGACAUGAUAUCCGAUCAGCCAAUUUGUCACUCUCUCCAAUAGGGGUUACAACAGGAGUUCUGAACAACAUGAGGUCCACCUCUGCCUCGGCUGGCGGAUUAACACAGCAGCGUCAGAGAGACCAGCCUCUGUGAAGCAGGUUUAGUUCACAGUGACGGCGUUGGGGUCUAUGCAGAAAACCGGGACCGCUUUCACAGUGGAGAAAACCUCGAGGCAGGAGACGAGGCGUCUGCAUGUGAGAAAAGCUGUUUGUGUCAUGCUGCGGCACACAUGACUUCCCGUAAUAACUCCUGUGGAAUAAGGAGUGGAAGCUUACUAGAGGAGUUCAAGGUUGCCACCCGGGACUCAAAGUGGCACACUGCUCUGUUGAUGGUUCCCAAAGCACCGCGUUUAAUGGACAGGCGUUUGAAUUUCAUGGUUCAUGUAACUACACCUUGGUGCAGAUGGGCCUCAAUAAAGUGGAUGCGGAGCCUGUCUUGAUAGCUGCACAGGGCGACCACAGUGAGGGCAGGCACAUCUACUUGCAAGUCA